Molecule: ribosomal RNA, 468 nt
Filed under: uncultured bacterium
Lineage: Bacteria
Description: partial 16S ribosomal RNA
Rfam family: Bacterial small subunit ribosomal RNA
Source: RNAcentral
GACGAACGCUGGCGGCGUGCUUAACACAUGCAAGUCGAACGGAAAGGCCCUGCUUUUGUGGGGUGCUCGAGUGGCGAACGGGUGAGUAACACGUGAGUAACCUGCCCUUGACUUUGGGAUAACUUCAGGAAACUGGGGCUAAUACCGGAUAGGAGCUCCUGCUGCAUGGUGUGGGUUGGAAAGUUUCGGCGGUUGGGGAUGGACUCGCGGCUUAUCAGCUUGUUGGUGGGGUAGUGGCUUACCAAGGCUUUGACGGGUAGCCGGCCCGAGAGGGUGACCGGCCACAUUGGGACUGAGAUACGGCCCAGACUCCUACGGGAGGCAGCAGUGGGGAAUAUUGCACAAUGGGCGGAAGCCUGAUGCAGCAACGCCGCGUGCGGGAUGACGGCCUUCGGGUUGUAAACCGCUUUCGCCUGUGACGAAGCGUGAGUGACGGUAAUGGGUAAAGAAGCAACGGCUAACUACGUG